AAAUCCUGGCAAUGGGCAAAGAGACACCUUGUUGGUGGUGGUGUUCCUAUAUCAGUCAGGGGCAGAACAGAAGAACAGAUGUUCUAUUCAUCCUAGCUUGAUGCCUGGCUUGGUGUCCAAUGCUGUUUUAUGCCCGAGACUCGUGA
Apodemus sylvaticus (European woodmouse) is the source of this 146-nucleotide small nucleolar RNA. RefSeq annotates it as small nucleolar RNA SNORA48. The record is from RefSeq and is a predicted model, not a curated record. NCBI's taxonomy places the organism in Eukaryota, Metazoa, Chordata, Mammalia, Rodentia, Muridae. The transcript has a single exon.